AACGAACGCUGGCGGCGCGUUUUAAGCAUGCAAGUCGAACGGUAGUAGAGUGCUUGCACUCUAUGAGAGUGGCGAACGGGUGAGUAACACGUAGGUGAUCUAUCUUGAGGUCUGGGAUAGCUUGUGGAAACACAGGGUAAUACUGGAUGCGACCUGUGUAUUGAGGUACAUGGGGGAAAGCCGCUUAGGCGGUGCCUUAAGCUGAGCCUGCGUCUCAUUAGUUAGUUGGUGGGGUAAUGGCUUACCAAGGCGACGAUGAGUAGCCGGCCUGAGAGGGUGAUCGGCCACACUGGGACUGAGACACGGCCCAGACUCCUACGGGAGGCAGCAGCUAAGAAUCUUCCGCAAUGGGGGGAACCCUGACGGAGCGACGCCGCGUGGACGAAGAAGGCCGGAAGGUUGUAAAGUCCUUUUCCUGGGGGAGAAUAAGGUAUGGAGGGAAUGCCAUACAGAUGACGUGAACCAGGGAAUAAGCCCCGGCUAAUUACGUGCCAGCAGCCGCGGUAACACGUAAGGGGCGAGCGUUGUUCGGAUUUAUUGGGCGUAAAGGGCGUGUAGGCGGUGAGAUAAGUCUGGUGUGAAAGAUCCCGGCUCAACCGGGAGAGCGCGCUGGAAACUGUCUUACUUGAGUGAUGGAGGGGGAGCUGGAAUUCCUGGUGUAGGGGUGAAAUCUGUAGAGAUCAGGAAGAACACCGGAGCGAAGGCGAGCUCCUGGCCUUUACUGACGCUGA
Molecule: ribosomal RNA, 731 nt
Filed under: uncultured organism
Description: bacterial SSU rRNA
Rfam family: Bacterial small subunit ribosomal RNA
Source: RNAcentral